UGAAACGCGCAGAAACAGGAAUGCAGUUGACUGUUAAUCAAUUGGUCGUAGGUUCGAUCCCUACCGCCGGAGCCA
RNAcentral lists this transfer RNA (75 nucleotides) under Fuscovulum blasticum DSM 2131. RNAcentral's name for it is "Rhodobacter blasticus DSM 2131 tRNA-Asn". The stretch from base 9 to 64 matches the Rfam family "tRNA", at positions 10 to 63 of the family's 71-position model. From Rfam's summary of the family: Transfer RNA (tRNA) molecules are approximately 80 nucleotides in length. Lineage: Bacteria; Pseudomonadati; Pseudomonadota; Alphaproteobacteria; Rhodobacterales; Paracoccaceae. The record is from RNAcentral.